RNAcentral lists this long non-coding RNA (215 nucleotides) under Lathyrus oleraceus (garden pea). RNAcentral describes it as "Pisum sativum (pea) long non-coding RNA (PSAT_LNC042219)". Lineage: Eukaryota; Viridiplantae; Streptophyta; Magnoliopsida; Fabales; Fabaceae. The record is from RNAcentral.
AUUAUUUUGGGAUUUUUUGGAUGAAGAAUGAAAUUACUAUGAAUUUUUGAAGAAAAAGCAUUUAAAAAUAAUAAUAGAAAAAUAAUUAAAAUAAAAAAAAUACGGAGUGUUGAAUCACGCCUCAUUAAUUGACGUGACAUAUCCAACAUUCCAAAUGUUAGAGAACACGAUGGAACGCACUGCAAGCCAAACACAUGAACCAAUUUAAAUCCAAC